This is a long non-coding RNA of Brassica napus (rape), 2778 nucleotides long. RefSeq lists it as uncharacterized. The record is from RefSeq and is a predicted model, not a curated record. Lineage: Eukaryota; Viridiplantae; Streptophyta; Magnoliopsida; Brassicales; Brassicaceae. The transcript is spliced from 2 exons.
AGUUCUUAUUUGAAUGCAACCAGCUUGAUACAAUGAAAGCUCAAGGUGAUGUUUUGUAUAUUGAAAGAGCUCUCAUUUGAAAGUAACGAGUUUUUGAUACAUGAAUAAUAAUCAUUAAAAACCAAAGUGUAGUUCAUAAGUGCAAAUUCAAAGGUCCAAAGCUUAGUGUACUGAAUCUCAAAUGUAAUUAAAAACCUACACAAAAUCCAAGCCAUCAAUUUCAAAUAAAAGCAAAAUACCCAAUCAGGAUUACAAAUCAAACUUCUUGUUCCUCGAAUCCAUCAUUGACAAUGUAUUCAUAUAAUGGUAGGGUCUCAUAGUCAACAUCAUCUUCAUCUUCUGCAAGUAUAAAACUCCAAAAUCCUGCACAUUCUCUUGAAGUAGACGACUCAUGUAUUUGUUAAGCAGCUGCUAUCCAAUGCUAAAGAAGGACUAUGAAGCUACUGUUGUGUUAUGAAUACUCAACAGAUGACAAGCCAUUGCUGACAAAUUACCAUACCUAUGAGUAUUAUCUUUCCAAAACUGGAGAAUGUUCAAGCUCUAAAAUUAGCCAUGUCUCGUGCGGGUUCUUCAAGAGAAGCUUGGGGAGAUGUCUUUCCACUUGCAACAACUCUGGUUUUCGAAACACAAAGAAAUCAUGUAAAGAUUUUUUAAAAAAUAAGGAAUGGUUAAUUCAAUUCAAGUUUAGAAUGGAUCGGAUAACUUAUAAUGGCUUGACGCACGUAAGCGUACAUUAUUCUUUGCUAUUGUAACACAUGUUAUUAAAAUCUAAUAUUAAUCUUCAUAAAAUAAUAAUAAUUAUUAAAAUAAUAAUCUUCGUCAAAAUAAGAAUUGAUUUUAUAAUAAUAUUCUUUGAAAUUUUUAUAAGUAUAUCCAGGCAGUAAGAAAUCAUCUUAUUAUUCGCAUGAUAAUAAAUUAUAUUAGUUUUCUAUGUUGGUUGACAAAAUUACAAAAACGUCAUACUUUUCUCGCAAAGUUUUCCAUCAAAAAUAUUGAGGAAUACGAUGUGUCACAAAUUUUCUUUUGACCUAAGCAAAAAAGAGAGUAUAAGGUUUACCAUUUUUAUCUAUAUUUUUACUUUUGAAAUUUUCAUUCUGGUUAGACUGUGAUUCUUGACAUUAUUGUGUAGAAAAUAGAAGUACAUAAACGAGACUGAUAUAAGAUUUUUAUUGUUGUUAUUAGGCUGAUAAUAAAAAUCUCUAAAUGUACUUCCUGAUCCAAUUUUUUUUUCCUUACUCAUAAGUGGUAGUGAUACAACGUAGAAGAAAAUAGAAAAACUACCAUUUCUUAUAACAAACUAUGAUUUUAAAAAAUUAUUCUUAGUUAUUAACUAUAAAAAUAUUUAAAAGUUAAUAGCAAAAAAAAUGGAAAGGAGAGAAAAUAGGUUUAACUAUUUUGCAUUACAAUAGGCAUACACCAUAUUUGUAGGAUUUAAAUACGUAUAUGUUAUUCAUAUAAUGGAAAACAAAAGUAGAUGUAAGUUAUUAAAUAAAUUAUUUAUUCAGGAAUUUAUAAUCUUCAAUGUAGGUUUUCGCCGUAGAUACAGAAACAUUGUUCUAUGCUCUUUUAACACAUGUUCUGAGUCCCAGCUUUGGAGAAACAAAAAGACAAGUAAGGUUUUUGUGUUUGCUCCAUUUGGUUUGCUUACAAGUUUCUUUGCCCGCUUCAAGACCUUGGCCAUCAACAACUAUACAAACAAAAAAGUAACAACAACAUCAUUCGCAGGAAAAAUAAUUACCAUAGAUAUUAUGAUGUGAUUGCAAUGGUGAAAAUAAUUAGAUGAUAAUAAAAUUAAAACUAGUAUAAACGCAUACAUUCAUGAAGACGAAAUAAAGCAAUCGAGAUGAUGAAAACUAUAACGAACUGUGACGAUAUCAUAUUGUUCUUUGUUAUAUUCUUACACUACAAACACGUUUAUUGUUGUUGCUUUUUAAUUUUAUGUUUACUUGUUUGAUGGUUGAAAUUUUUAUUUGAGGUCAAGAUUAAUUUAUAGAUAAAAAUAUGUAAACUAGUAAGGCAUGUUUUGCAUGGCCGCGAUAUAGAAAAAUUGGUUAGAUUUGUUUGGCUUAUUUUUUCUAACUAUUAUGUGGUAAUUAUACUGGUGUUUAACACUUUCUUCCUUUUAAGUUACUCUUAGAAACAAUCAAAUUUUCGUGAGAUAGUCAUAUUGGAGCAAUAAAUUGGAGUUAUUAACUAAUUUACUAACUGUUUAUAAUAAAAUAUUACCAAUUCUCACAAAUCUCAUUUUCAGCAAAAUGUGAAUCUCUAUAAGAACUUUAAAAAAAUCACAUUUCGCUGAAAAUAAUAUUUGUGAAAUUGGUAAUAUUUUUUAGAGAAAAAAUUAAUUAAUAAUGGUUAGCAAAUUAGUUAAUAAAUCCUAUUAGUUUCUCUAAUGUGAUUAGCACACAAUAGUUUGACUGCUUCUAAACACCAAUAUAAUUACCACAAAAUAGUUAGAAAAACAAGCCAAACAAAUCUAACCAAUUUUUAUGGAUCACCAUGCAAGACAUGCAUUGCUAGUUUACAUCUUCUAUUUAUAAAUUAAUGUUCACUUCAAAUGGAAAUUUCAAACCAUCAAACCAGUAAACAUAAAAUUCAAAAGAAACAACAAUAAACGUGUUUGUAACGUAUGAAUAUCACAAAGAACAAUAUGUCAUCAUCACAGUUCGCUAUCUUUUGCAUCAUCUUGAUUGCAUUAUUUCCUCUUCAUGAAUUUGUUGAUGGCCAAGGUCUUGAAGCGGGGAAAGAAACUUGUAAGCAAAUCAAAUGCGGCAAAGA